RNAcentral lists this ribosomal RNA (253 nucleotides) under uncultured bacterium. RNAcentral describes it as "partial 16S ribosomal RNA". It matches the Rfam family "Bacterial small subunit ribosomal RNA", at positions 524 to 776 of the family's 1533-position model. The record is from RNAcentral.
UACGUAGGGGGCGAGCGUUGUCCGGAGUUACUGGGCGUAAAGGGCGUGUAGGCGGUUGAAUAAGUCCGGUGUGAAAUUCCGAAGCUCAACUUCGGAACUGCGCUGGAUACUGUUUGACUGGAGUUUGGCAGGGGUAACUGGAAUUCCUGGUGUAACGGUGAAAUGUGUAGAUAUCAGGAGGAACACCUGUGGCGAAGGCGGGUUACUGGGCCACAACUGACGCUGAGACGCGAAAGCGUGGGUAGCAAACAGG